This 440-nucleotide ribosomal RNA is filed under the name uncultured bacterium. RNAcentral's name for it is "partial 16S ribosomal RNA". It matches the Rfam family "Bacterial small subunit ribosomal RNA", at positions 338 to 795 of the family's 1533-position model. The record is from RNAcentral.
CCUACGGGAGGCAGCAGUGGGGAAUAUUGCACAAUGGGCGGAACCCUGAUGCAGCGACGCCGCGUGGGUGAGGAAGUUCUUCGGUAUGUUAAGCCCUAUCUGCCGGGAAGAAAAUGCCGGUACCUGACUACGAAGCCCCGGCUAACUACGUGCCAGCAGCCGCGGUAAUACGCCGGGGGCAAGCGUUAUCCGGAUUUACUGGGUGUAAAGGGAGCGUAGACGGCGUGCCAAGUCUGAGGGGAAAGGCCGGGGCUCAACCCCGGGACUGCAGUGGCAACUGGCAUGCUGGAGUGCGGGAGGAGCAGGCGGAAUGCGUGGUGUAGCGGUGAAAUGCGUAGAUAUUGGGAAGAACACCGGUGGCGAAGGCGGCAUGCUGGACCGAGACUGACGUUGAGGCUCGAAAGCGUGGGGAGCGAACAGGAUUAGAUACCCGAGUAGUC